Long non-coding RNA from Chroicocephalus ridibundus (black-headed gull), 1283 nucleotides. RefSeq lists it as uncharacterized. Lineage: Eukaryota; Metazoa; Chordata; Aves; Charadriiformes; Laridae. The transcript is spliced from 2 exons. The record is from RefSeq and is a predicted model, not a curated record.
UCCGCAGGAGAGCGCCUAGCAAAGACAGCGUAAGCGCAGUACCUUAAUGACACCUGCAGGGCUGAGGGGCUGCCGCCCCUCACCUUGCACAAUUCAUCCAGAGCAUCCCUGAAAGAUCUCUUCCUGCUCCUUUGAAAGCUUCCCCUGUGUCAGCUUCACCUGCAGUGCCCCUUGCAGGUUUGGCUCUCGGGUGUUCCUCAGAAGUCAUCAUUUGGAGUCUCCCCGUUGCUGAGUACCCCUUCAUGAGAACAUGCUAAGAGCGAAUUAAGUGUUACCGAAACAGCUAUCCUAAAGCCAUUGCUGCUUGUUCCCUGUGCCUGUCCGCAUUCAACCCAGAAUGUAUCAGGCCAUUGGAGUGCCAGAGCUCACAAGACAGUAAUGUUUCAUUUGUUUCGUAUCUUUUAGCUCCGUGGGACGCAGAAGAGUGCUGCUACUGACCGAGAAGCUAUCCUCGUCCCCAGGAGUACAUGGUGUAAACGUAGUGAUUCAGGUUAGGCAGCUGUGGUCAGGCCAGUUUGGUUCACACGGAGAACGAGUAUAGAACAAUAAUUUGUUUUGACUCAUUUCUUUUGAGCAAGGAACAGGUGUGAGCACCAUAGAAGGAACAAGCGUGAGCAAAGGAUGUGAAUGUGCAGGGAGGUGCUUGUUUAACUGCAGCAUGGUGCCAGCACUCAACGGUGAGUGAGUUGUGGAGAGGCUGAGGCUGAGCGGCUGGUGAGCGUGAAAGUGGAGAAAAGAGGACGAUAGACUAAAUUGCAUAAGGAUGGAGUCAUGUGAUGCCUUGAAGUCAAAGACAAGGAUUUCAGGCCUAAUGAGUCAAAGGGAAAGGAAUCGGGGAGAAUAAAACAGAAGAGACAUUACGGUUGGGUCAGAACACUAAAUAUAGCAGCCGCAGUGCAAGGAUGGAAGGAUAUGAGUGUCCCAUUCCUGAUGGUCAUUGUUCUCUGCCAGUGAACGGGUGAAAUCCAGCCAGUUACACGCUCUUUUCAGCCUUCCUGCCAUGUAGCUACUUCCUAUCUGUACUUCCAUUCUCUCCAAAUGCAAAGGAGAAGGAAUGGAAAUGUUUUCCCUGUCGGGUGUUUGCUGUGACCGUUUUUCAGGAUUUUGCAUUCGUCCCUGGAACGCUUCUGGAUUGCAGAGGAUAAAGCAAUUUGAGGAGGAAUUCUUCCCAGGAGUUCAAUAAUACGAGCGACAUGAUCUAGACAGAGCGGGGGGAAAACACAUCUAGACACAAAGAUUGUGACACUUCCAUCUGUGAAAUGAAUAAAACUGAUGGGGUCUUA